Molecule: long non-coding RNA, 697 nt
Filed under: Elaeis guineensis (African oil palm)
Lineage: Eukaryota; Viridiplantae; Streptophyta; Magnoliopsida; Arecales; Arecaceae
Description: long non-coding RNA (EGUI_LNC082790)
Source: RNAcentral
AGGCCGAUCGGGCCCCGACCAAAGAAAGGCUAAAAGCCCACGCGACUGUCGUCGCGACUUCCGAUCAGGCUACGGCCGGUCGAGGGAUAUUCGGCUUACCACCGUCUAUCACACGACGCGACCUUAGUCGCAUCCACGACUUGCCGACCGACCUACGACCGGCUGAACGACAUUCGACUUGCUACCGUCUGUCGGAAGACACAGAACCCGACGCAAGAGUAUGGGGACCCGACUUACUAUUGUUCCUCCGACACUGCACCGGAUGACGACCGACUAAACGCAUCUACGGAAGCCCGACUACCGAGCCUUUACCAGGUUCGGUCGGCCCCCGACUCAACAGAUGCACCCGACCGACGACUUCGACUAUUGGAAGCCGACCUAAAGUCGGGACACAUUCUACUUUCAGGGCUGCAUAAGUUAUCGAAGUCCUACCGACUUACGUGAGUUGGCAACUUACUUAAGUUAGCGACUAAAGUUCGACAUCGCAGCAAUAAUCGGCAUUACAAACAAGAAGAAAAAGAAAAAGUUCCAUUCAUUGAUGAAAAAAAAUUACAAAGUCGGGUCGAAGCCCGAUUACAUGUAUUUUCUGAAAACAAAAAAGGCAAAGAUAGUCGGCAAGGCCGAUCAUCCGUCCUAGUCGAUCUCUUCGACCGACGGAGGAUCGGGAAUGAUCGGCGUCUCGGCCAUGAGCGGCGCU